ACGUAGGGUGCAAGCGUUAUCCGGAAUCACUGGGUGUAAAGGGUGUGUAGGCGGAUUUGUGCGUCAGAGGUUAAAUAUCCAGGCUUAACUUGGAAAAUGCCUUUGAUACGGCAAGUCUUGAGUAUAAGAGAGGAAGAUGGAAUUCCUGGUGUAGAAGUGAAAUUCGUAGAUAUCAGGAGGAACACCGGUGGCGAAGGCGGUCUUCUGGCUUAUUACUGACGCUGAGGCACGAAAGCGUGGGGAUCAAACAG
RNAcentral lists this ribosomal RNA (251 nucleotides) under uncultured prokaryote. RNAcentral describes it as "partial 16S rRNA". It matches the Rfam family "Bacterial small subunit ribosomal RNA", at positions 525 to 775 of the family's 1533-position model. The record is from RNAcentral.